AAUUGAUGACGCCGUUGACUUUUUCUCACAUGUUUGACCAUUCGUCUUAUUCAAAAAUUUACGUAAUUAUAAUUUGUUUUGUUAUGAGUUGUUUUAUCAUUCAUAGUACUUUAAGUGUGAUUUAUAUCUUAUAUAUUUGUAUAAAAUUUUUAAAUAAGACGAAUGAUCAUACAUAUGAGAAAAAGUCAACUGCGUCAUCUAUU
Molecule: microRNA precursor, 203 nt
Filed under: Oryza barthii
Lineage: Eukaryota; Viridiplantae; Streptophyta; Magnoliopsida; Poales; Poaceae
Description: MIR812 microRNA precursor family
Rfam family: MIR812 microRNA precursor family
Source: Rfam by way of RNAcentral